RNAcentral lists this ribosomal RNA (863 nucleotides) under uncultured Clostridia bacterium. Its description in RNAcentral is "bacterial SSU rRNA". It matches the Rfam family "Bacterial small subunit ribosomal RNA", at positions 27 to 896 of the family's 1533-position model. Lineage: Bacteria; Bacillati; Bacillota; Clostridia. The record is from RNAcentral.
GGACGAACGCUGGCGGCGUGCCUAACACAUGCAAGUCGAGCGAAGUACUUAUCAAUAAGCCUUCGGGCAGAUUGAUAAGUUACUUAGCGGCGGAUGGGUGAGUAACGCGUGAGGAACCUGCCUUCCACAAGGGGAUAGCCUCGGGAAACCGGGAUUAAUACCCUAUGACACUUAAAGGUCCCAUGACUUUUAAGUUAAAGCGUUAGCGGUGGAAGAUGGCCUCGCGUCCCAUUAGCUAGUUGGUGAGGUAAGGGCUCACCAAGGCCACGAUGGGUAGCCGGCUUGAGAGAGUGACCGGCCACACUGGAACUGAGACACGGUCCAGACUCCUACGGGAGGCAGCAGUGGGGAAUAUUGCACAAUGGAGGGAACUCUGAUGCAGCGACGCCGCGUGAGCGAUGAAGGCCUUCGGGUCGUAAAGCUCUGUCCUAUGGGACGAUAAUGACGGUACCAUAGGAGGAAGCCCCGGCUACUACGUGCCAGCAGCCGCGGUAAUACGUAGGGGGCGAGCGUUGUCCGGAAUUACUGGGCGUAAAGGGUACGCAGGCGGUCAUGUAAGUCAGAUGUGAAAUCCUAAGGCUUAACCUUAGUAAGCAUUUGAAACUGCGUGGCUUGAGUUAAGGAGAGGAAAGUGGAAUUCCUGGUGUAGCGGUGAAAUGCGUAGAUAUCAGGAGGAAUACCAGUGGCGAAGGCGACUUUCUGGCCUUAACUGACGCUGAGGUACGAAAGCGUGGGGAGCAAACAGGAUUAGAUACCCUGGAAGUCCACGCUGUAAACGAUGAGUGCUAGGUGUCGGGUGUCAAAGCUCGGUGCCGCAGUAAACACAUUAAGCACUCCGCCUGGGGAGUACGUUCGCAAGAAUG